UGGCGCACGGGUGCGUAACGCGUAUGCAACCUACCUUUUACUAGAGUAUAGCCCAGAGAAAUUUGGAUUAAUCCUCUAUAACAUCUUUUAAUUUCAUGAUUUUAAGAUUAAAGUUUUAAUGGUAAAAGAUGGGCAUGCGUCCUAUUAGUUUGUAGGUGAGGUAACGGCCCACCUAGACUACGAUAGGUAGGGGCCCUGAGAGGGGGAUCCCCCACACUGGUACUGAGACACGGACCAGACUCCUACGGGAGGCAGCAGUAAGGAAUAUUGGACAAUGGACGAAAGUCUGAUCCAGCCAUGCCGCGUGCAGGAUGACAGCCCUACGGGUUGUAAACUGCUUUUAUACAGGAAGAAACACUCCGACGUGUCGGAGCUUGACGGUACUGUAAGAAUAAGGAUCGGCUAACUCCGUGCCAGCAGCCGCGGUAAUACGGAGGAUCCAAGCGUUAUCCGGAAUCAUUGGGUUUAAAGGGUCCGCAGGCUGUUUUUUAAGUCAGAGGUGAAAUCCUACAGCUCAACUGUAGAACUGCCUUUGAUACUGGAAAACUUGAGUUAUUGUGAAGUGGUUAGAAUGUGUGGUGUAGCGGUGAAAUGCAUAGAUAUCACACAGAAUACCGAUUGCGAAGGCAGAUCACUAACAAUAUACUGACGCUCAUGGACGAAAGCGUGGGGAGCGAACAGGAUUAGAUACCCUGGUAGUCCACGCCGUAAACGAUGGAUACUAGCUGUUCGUCUAACAUUGGUUAGAUGAGUGGCUAAGCGAAAGUGAUAA
This 772-nucleotide ribosomal RNA is filed under the name uncultured Bacteroidota bacterium. RNAcentral's name for it is "bacterial SSU rRNA". It matches the Rfam family "Bacterial small subunit ribosomal RNA", at positions 96 to 863 of the family's 1533-position model. Lineage: Bacteria; Pseudomonadati; Bacteroidota. The record is from RNAcentral.